Molecule: non-coding RNA, 30 nt
Filed under: Mus musculus (house mouse)
Lineage: Eukaryota; Metazoa; Chordata; Mammalia; Rodentia; Muridae
Source: RNAcentral
GAGCCUAUCAGGAAGAGUACAUAAUAAGUA